This 126-nucleotide ribosomal RNA is filed under the name Botrytis sp. Its description in RNAcentral is "partial large subunit ribosomal RNA". It matches the Rfam family "Eukaryotic large subunit ribosomal RNA", at positions 99 to 224 of the family's 3401-position model. Lineage: Eukaryota; Fungi; Ascomycota; Leotiomycetes; Helotiales; Sclerotiniaceae. The record is from RNAcentral.
CGGUAAAAGCUCAAAUUUGAAAUCUGGCUCUUUUAGAGUCCGAAUUGUAAUUUGUAGAAGAUGCUUCGGGUGUGGUUCCGGUCUAAGUUCCUUGGAACAGGACGUCAUAGAGGGUGAGAGCCCCGU